This 609-nucleotide ribosomal RNA is filed under the name Prorocentrum playfairi. RNAcentral describes it as "LSU rRNA". It matches the Rfam family "Eukaryotic large subunit ribosomal RNA", at positions 69 to 634 of the family's 3401-position model. Lineage: Eukaryota; Dinophyceae; Prorocentrales; Prorocentraceae. The record is from RNAcentral.
AUAGGAUUCCUGCAGUAAUGGCGAAUGAAGAGGGAAGUGCUCAGCAUGCAAAUUGGGGCCCCUGGCUUUGAAUUGUAGUCUCGAGAUGCGCUACCAAAGGAGGUGCAGAUGAAGGCCUUUUGGAAAGAAGCAUCGAUGAGGGUGAGAGUCCCGUUUGUCAUCUGCAGUCCUCCAUGUACGGUGUGCCUUCUCUGAGUCACGUUCCUCGGAAUUGGAGCGCAAAGUGGGUGGUAAAUUUCAUCUCAAGCUAAAUACAGGCUCGAACCCGAUAGCAAACAAGUACCAUGAGGGAAAGGUGAAAAGGACUUUGAAAAGAGAGUUAAAAGUGCCUGAAAUUGCUGAAACGGAAGCGAAUGGAGCCAGUGCUGCUUGGUGAAGUCUUCUGUGCGCCAGCGUGAUUGCUAGCUGCUUCGACGGCAGCGGCUCCGAGUGCGACGUGCGCAGUGCCUUUGGCCUUGUGUGUCACUGCCACUUCACGAUGGAUGAAAACUUCAGGGACGUGAUAGUUCGCCUCAGGGUGAAGGAGUGUGCCUGGUAGCACUCACUCGUGGAUUGCUUCGUUGAUGUCUGGUUGCAGCGCCGCGUUUGGCUUUGCGUUCGCGGCUCUCC